RNAcentral lists this ribosomal RNA (253 nucleotides) under uncultured bacterium. RNAcentral's name for it is "partial 16S ribosomal RNA". It matches the Rfam family "Bacterial small subunit ribosomal RNA", at positions 524 to 776 of the family's 1533-position model. The record is from RNAcentral.
UACAGAGGUCCCAAGCGUUGUUCGGAUUCACUGGGCGUAAAGGGUGCGUAGGUGGCGGGGUAAGUCGGAUGUGAAAUCUCGAAGCUCAACUUCGAAACUGCAUUGGAAACUACCUUGCUUGAGGGUUGGAGGGGGGACUGGAAUACUUGGUGUAGCAGUGAAAUGCGUAGAUAUCAAGUGGAACACCAGUGGCGAAGGCGAGUCCCUGGACAACUCCUGACACUGAGGCACGAAAGCUAGGGGAGCAAACAGG